Molecule: long non-coding RNA, 1325 nt
Organism: Aegilops tauschii subsp. strangulata
Lineage: Eukaryota; Viridiplantae; Streptophyta; Magnoliopsida; Poales; Poaceae
Source: RefSeq, a predicted model, not a curated record
CAGAUAAAAAAAAGAACAACCCCGAUCCCCUUUUCCUAUCGUCUUUCUCUGUCUCCUCGUCGCUGCUCCCGGCCGCCGCGCCUCCGCAACUCCUGGCCUCCUCCUCCUCCUCCAUUAUUUAUCCCCGCAUCCGCGCCCAGCUCUCCUAAGUCCUGGCCAACGCCCCUGCUCGUAUCCUCUCUGUAAACCUAGACGAGAGACAUGGAGGUAACCAGUGGUGAUGGUGGUGGUGGGAGGAGCGUUUGAUUCCCACAACUCCACGUGUGGAGCAUGGAAGAAUCCAGCCCCAUUCCCCCUUCCUUGUCUGGACAGCCAGAUUUGUUUGCGUUGGAUCUUAAAGUUGAAUCAUUUAGCACUAACCAUCCAUCGGGCUUGAAAUCUUACUUCAAGGGCAGAGUGUUGAAAUGGGUUGUCGACCGCAAGUCGUUGACUGUGGAUGCUAUGAGGUUCCAAGCUGCAUAUGCUGGGGUGAUUGCAUCAAUGACAGAUAAAUCAGAGUGGCCCGAAGUUGAUCUAGGAUUUAAGGUACACCCUCCUGUACAAACGAAGAAUGUGCCUGGUAGGCCUAGGAAGGUGAGGAUUAGAGGUUGGAUGGAACCUAUGAGAAGAACAGUUAAAUGCAAGAGAUGUAAAUGAUUUGGCCAUCAUCAGAAAACUUGCAAACUUCCUUUUAAAUUAGACGAUGAAGAGGAAGAAGAGCCAGAUGAUGGGGAGCAAGAAAAGCCAGAUGAUGUAGAGAAACAAGAAAAUCCCGAUGAUGGAGAGCAACAAGGACUAGAUGAUGGAGAGCAAAAAGCAAGUGAGGAGGUGGAUCCAGCCCCUAAAGAGGUGCAACCAGCCACGAAAAGGAAGAAGGGUGCAGCUAAAUCUCAAACUAAAGGAGCACCACCUGCAAAGAUAGGAGGUAAUAAGAUGGCUACAGCAAAAUCCCCAACUCAAGGAGCUUCUCAAGCAAAAGGCAAGAAGAACAUUGCAUCAAACUCAACUAAAACUCCAGCUGAAGGCAAGAAAAAGGCAGCAGCUAAAUCCCCAACAAAGGGUGGGAAGAGAAAGCCAAAGGGUACUACACCUACAAAGGAAAGUGGGUCUGCAACCAUUACAGUGAGCCAGAAGUUGGCAUCAAAAGGAAGUUGAGUGAUUUGAUUAGAGAGAAGUAGUAGUUGCUUGUAAUUUGUGUUUUCAUCUUAUUAAAACCAUCACGUGACAAUUGAUUCUCUGAACUGGUCAUGAUUUGUGUAAUGUUAUUUUGCCCAGAAUUGGGGGAAUUUAGGAUGUGAACUGAUGCUAUUUGGCCAAGUGGUAUGAUAUUUAAGUCAAGUUGUCAA